This 498-nucleotide ribosomal RNA is filed under the name uncultured bacterium. RNAcentral describes it as "partial 16S ribosomal RNA". It matches the Rfam family "Bacterial small subunit ribosomal RNA", at positions 30 to 523 of the family's 1533-position model. The record is from RNAcentral.
AUUGAACGCUGGCGGCAUGCCUUACACAUGCAAGUCGAACGGUAACAGGUCUUCGGAUGCUGACGAGUGGCGAACGGGUGAGUAAUACAUCGGAACGUGCCUAGUAGUGGGGGAUAACUACUCGAAAGAGUGGCUAAUACCGCAUGAGAUCUACGGAUGAAAGCAGGGGAUCGCAAGACCUUGUGCUACUAGAGCGGCCGAUGGCAGAUUAGGUAGUUGGUGGGAUAAAAGCUUACCAAGCCGACGAUCUGUAGCUGGUCUGAGAGGACGAGCAGCCACACUGGGACUGAGAAACGGCCCAGACUCCUACGGGAGGCAGCAGUGGGGAAUUUUGGACAAUGGGCGCAAGCCUGACCCAGCAAUGCCGCGUGCAGGAUGAAGGCCUUCGGGUUGUAAACUGCUUUUGUACGGAACGAAAAGCCCCGGGUUAAUACCCUGGGGUCAUGACGGUACCGUAAGAAUAAGCACCGGCUAACUACGUGCCAGCCGCCGCCGUAA